ACUCCUACGGGAGGCAGCAGUGAGGAAUAUUGGUCAAUGGAGGGAACUCUGAACCAGCCAUCCCGCGUGUAGGAAGACGGCCUUAUGGGUUGUAAACUAGCUUUUAUACAGGAAGAAACGUACCCCGUCGAGGGUGCCUGACGGUACUGUAGGAAUAAGCACCGGCUAACUCCGUGCCAGCAGCCGCGGUAAUACGGAGGGUGCGAGCGUUAUCCGGAUUUAUUGGGUUUAAAGGUCCGUAGGCGGGUUAAUAAGUCAGUGGUGAAAUCCCAUCGCUUAACGAUGGAACUGCCAUUGAUACUGUUAGUCUUGAAUGAGGGUGCAGUGGUUGGAAUGUGUAGUGUAGCGGUGAAAUGCAUAGAUAUUACACAGAACACCGAUUGCGAAGGCAGAUCACUAACCCUAAAUUGACGCUGAGGGACGAAAGCGUGGGGAGCGAACAGGAUUAGAUACCCUGUAGACAUCAC
This 467-nucleotide ribosomal RNA is filed under the name uncultured bacterium. Its description in RNAcentral is "bacterial SSU rRNA". It matches the Rfam family "Bacterial small subunit ribosomal RNA", at positions 335 to 800 of the family's 1533-position model. The record is from RNAcentral.